This 1157-nucleotide unclassified non-coding RNA is filed under the name Hevea brasiliensis (rubber tree). The record is from RNAcentral. Lineage: Eukaryota; Viridiplantae; Streptophyta; Magnoliopsida; Malpighiales; Euphorbiaceae.
AACAGAUUCACUUGUCAAAAUACAAAGUCCUACUUGUAAAUAAUUGUAAUAUUUGGGGGGUCUACUUGUCAAAAUACAUGGAUGAAAAUUUUAACAAUUAUAAUUCUUUUUAAUUAUUAAAUUUUAAAAUUUUUAAUUUAGUGGGAUCCACAUUUGGUUUUGUCACCUAAGUUUAUUGUGCCAACAAAUUUAAUGUUGUUAGGUGUUUUGUUACCUAAGUGCAAACAGCGAGAAGACACAUGCCCUCAAUUGUAUUUGAGUGCUAAAAAUGCAAAAUCACAGGGUAGCUAAGUGUAAUUUCCCCUAAAAAGAAAAUCCUGGUUAUUUGAAGGGAACUUAUACUGGGUACUAGUUUUGGGCUAAAGAUUGUCACAGGAAGGUAGUUGGGCUUUCAAAUGCUGGGCUUUUUUACGUUGGAGCCAAGCUCUAAGCUGCUUUGACAUUCAUAUGGUAUCUAGUUUGGAUUAUUACGAGUUUUCUCAGUUUGAUGCCAAGGUGCUAAUAUUUGUAAUAAUGCAAACUAACUAGCGUGCCUCAAUUAACUAGUUUGCUUAUCUGGUGGUUUAUUUGCCUGUCUUAGUUUCAGCCUGGAGCUGUUUAGAAAUUUCAUUACACAAACUUACACGAUAUUUAGCACAUGAUCUCAGCUGUGUUAUGUACUAAUCUGAAUGAUGCUGAAUAGGUAAGUACAUGUGCACCUUCUAAUUACAUGCUUGAUCCUCAUAUUUUUCUGCUGAAUCACAUGCUUUAUCUUUUGAAGUCCUUUACCUACACAUAAUGUCAUUUUACUUGUUGAUAUUGAAAAAGAAUAUCCAUUUGAAUAUUGUGUUGGAAGUAAUUACUAAUUAGUGGCUACGUGGAUUCUAUACCCAGCUUUAAAAUGAUGGCGUGCUGUUGUUUGUAAAUAACCUCCAAUUAAUUCUGUUCAAAUGAUUUAUUGCAUGCAUCCAUUUGAAUACAAUGGAAUUGGAUAAGAAAAAGAUUCAUAUUUAUAUGCAUUAUCACGUAUUGAUGCAUUUUGAACUUGUGCUUUGACUUUAACCACUUAUGUUGGUGGUACAAGAUGCAUCCGUUAAAAUUUCAGUUUAAUUUUUCUAGGUUCAAUUUUUGAUUUGGGGAGACAGGAAAUGGGAGGGAGAGGGAUAUAUAUAUAUAUA